UGACGACAAUUCGUGACGACCUAUCAGGCUUGUCACUAAUGUUGUCAGCUAUUUUUCCCAGCAAUUGAGGGAUGUUUUAGUAAGGAUAUUUUGGUCUUUUUUCUUCACUUAUCACGACUUAUAACCCUCAAGGAGCGUAUCAUCUUCCAUUCUCUUUAGUUAAAUAUCUCAAAAAGCUCUCUCAUACACUCUCAACUACAAGAUUAGGGUUUUCUCUUAAGAUCAUCUCCUCAAGAGCAAGCCUAAGGAAUUCUUCAAGAACCUUUAGAAAUAUUAGAUCUCUUUCAAGAUUUAGUCACUAAGGUAUGCGUAGUGUUCAUCCACGGGUCUCUUUCAUCCAUGGAUCUCAAGAAUCAUGUUUUAAAUUAUAAAUUGUGGUUUCUUUGUUGUAUUAUGACUAUAUUCAUGUUGAUGAAUGUUGUUUAGAUUCAAGGUUGUAUCUUGAUGUGUUUUAAUGAAGCAUGUGAAUAGGUUAGUUGAAACCCAUAAAUUUUGGAUGGAUUAAGAUGGUCGAAUUGAUAAAUAUACCUAUGCGUUAAAAGAGUGCAUGCAAGGUGUUUGAUAAAAUGCCUAAGGAACUAGAAAUCAUG
This 590-nucleotide long non-coding RNA is filed under the name Capsicum annuum. Its description in RNAcentral is "long non-coding RNA (CANN_LNC004437)". Lineage: Eukaryota; Viridiplantae; Streptophyta; Magnoliopsida; Solanales; Solanaceae. The record is from RNAcentral.